GACGAACGCUGGCGGCGUGCUUAAUACAUGCAAGUCGAGCGGAAGGGCCUGUCGGUGGACACGAGCGGCGAAGGGGCGGGUAAGACGUGGGCAAGCUGACCUGCACUCUGGGAUAAGGGGGGAAAAUUGGGACUAAUACGGUAAAUGACCUCAUUUCGCAGGACGGGAGGGGGAAAGAGUUAUCGGUGGAGGUUGGGCCCGCGGGCUAUCAGCUAGCUGGUGGUGAACUGGCCUACGAAGGCAAGGACUGGUAGCCGACCCGAGAGGGUGACCAGCCACACGAGUACUGAGACACGGCGCAGACUGCUACGGGACGCAGUAGGGGGGAGUAUGGCGCAGUGGGCGAGAGCCUGAUGCAGCGACGCCGCGUGCGUGAUGACGUGCUUCGGGUUGUAAACAUCUUUCAGCAUAGACGAAGCGCAAGUGACGGUACCUGAAGAGGAAGCACCGGCUAACUACGUG
Molecule: ribosomal RNA, 462 nt
Filed under: uncultured bacterium
Lineage: Bacteria
Description: partial 16S ribosomal RNA
Rfam family: Bacterial small subunit ribosomal RNA
Source: RNAcentral